AUACGGAGGAUCCAAGCGUUAUCCGGAAUCAUUGGGUUUAAAGGGUCCGCAGGCGGUCAAUUAAGUCAGAGGUGAAAGCCCAUCGCUCAACGAUGGAACUGCCUUUGAUACUGGUUGACUUGAGUUAUACGGAAGUAGAUAGAAUAAGUAGUGUAGCGGUGAAAUGCAUAGAUAUUACUUAGAAUACCGAUUGCGAAGGCAGUCUACUACGUAUAUACUGACGCUGAGGGACGAAAGCGUGGGGAGCGAACAGGAUUAGAAACCCGGUAGUCC
RNAcentral lists this ribosomal RNA (273 nucleotides) under uncultured bacterium. RNAcentral describes it as "partial 16S ribosomal RNA". It matches the Rfam family "Bacterial small subunit ribosomal RNA", at positions 523 to 796 of the family's 1533-position model. The record is from RNAcentral.